ACAUCGAAAGCUUGCUUUUGAUGGGCGUCGACCGGCGCACGGGUGAGUAACGCGUAUCCAACCUGCCCAUCACUUGGGGAUAACCUUGCGAAAGUAAGACUAAUACCCAAUGACGUCUCUAGAAGACAUCUGAAGGAGAUUAAAGAUUUAUCGGUGAUGGAUGGGGAUGCGUCUGAUUAGCUUGUUGGCGGGGUAACGGCCCACCAAGGCGACGAUUGGUAGCCGGACUGAGAGGUUGAACGGCCACAUUGGGACUGAGACACGGCCCAGACUCC
Molecule: ribosomal RNA, 275 nt
Filed under: uncultured bacterium
Lineage: Bacteria
Description: partial 16S ribosomal RNA
Rfam family: Bacterial small subunit ribosomal RNA
Source: RNAcentral